UGGACCACCGAUGAUGAGAAGUCCCGGCGUAUGAGUCUUGGACGAUGAAUAAUACGUUCUGGAUCUCUGAGGUCCAA
Small nucleolar RNA from Otolemur garnettii (small-eared galago), 77 nucleotides. Lineage: Eukaryota; Metazoa; Chordata; Mammalia; Primates; Galagidae. The record is from Ensembl.